GACGAACCGUACGAACGUUAUUCGGAAUUACUGGGCUUAAAGGGUGCGUAGGCGGCGCAGUAAGUUGGGGGUGAAAUCCCUCGGCUUAACCGAGGAAUUGCGCCCAAAACUACUGUGCUCGAGGGAGAUAGAGGUGAGCGGAACUUAGGGUGGAGCGGUGAAAUGCGUUGAUAUCCUAAGGAACACCGGUGGCGAAAGCGGCUCACUGGAUCUCUUCUGACGCUGAGGCACGAGAGCUAGGGUAGCGAACGGG
Molecule: ribosomal RNA, 253 nt
Filed under: uncultured bacterium
Lineage: Bacteria
Description: partial 16S ribosomal RNA
Rfam family: Bacterial small subunit ribosomal RNA
Source: RNAcentral